RNAcentral lists this long non-coding RNA (2338 nucleotides) under Toxoplasma gondii VEG. The record is from RNAcentral. Lineage: Eukaryota; Apicomplexa; Conoidasida; Eucoccidiorida; Sarcocystidae.
CUUAGGCUGGCCUGACUGUUCUCCUUCGUAUUUCUGUAUAUCAAUACGAGCUUGCGACGGUGAAUGCUGCGAGCUUACAUUUCUUUCAGCUGGUAUGGCGGCGCUGAAACAUGUCUUUUCAGCAAGGCUUUGCACAACGCGUUCCAGACGGUGAUGUAGCUGCAUUCAAAAACGAGAUGUCUGCUUUUUUGUCGCCACAUGGUUUCUCUUGACACGUUUGUGUACUCUACUCCAUGAAAGCUCAUACACUCCUUCGGAACAUAUCUCGGUGUUACUUAAUCAUCUUUCACUCCUAAUGUUUUUUUCUCAUCUUUUUCGGAAGCUACAUAGAACAUGGCUUGUUAUCACCGACGGCGCUAAUCGAUUUCGUAUACGACACGGUUCGGUGCAACAGAACGAGUUGCUGCGUUUUCCAUUAGUUAUUCGUCACGAUUUCUCAACAGAACACCUGAUGCGUUUACUGUCCGCCUCUUUAGGCAGUGCGUAACCAGCCUCUGUCCCCUGAACCACAAACGGACACGUAUUGGCAUUUGAUUGCAACAUUUUGUCGAUGAAAAAUCAUGAUUGGGAAUGUUGACUGCAUGCCACAAGAAGCAGCAAUGCUGAGUUACCGGUGGGAGGAAUAGCUUAGGUAGUAUUGUCGGCAUAAAUGACGGAUGGAUAACACACAAAAGUAUAGUCCUGGACAUUUUAGCUUGCAAGACGCCUGAGUUCAGCAGUCGCGUGACGCGCUGAAAGAGCGACAGACUGAAUUAACCGACGCAUGGCCAACAGUGUCUUUUUCUAAGCUCCCUCUUACCUUUAUUUCGCACAGGAGGCAUUAUGAUAUCCCGCAUCCUACAAACACCGUGUCGGGACGUGAACGGGUCUGAUGUUUCCCCUCUACUACUUGCUUUCUGUUGCAUAGAAUCACUUGUCCCUUUCAGACUGGUUCUAGAGGUACACUCACGGUCUUUCUUCGUGCGCUCCUGAUAGGCUGCGCUAAUUUGUGUCCGCUUCACACGAAUGCGCUGAAUUGCCAUACGCAGCUUCAUACGUUGGCCGGUGCUGUCACUCUUGCUUUCCAGGCGGUACGUUAUGCUGGUCAACAGGCGCUGCAAAUACGGCUCGUUUCUGUAUCACAAAUCCCUCGUUACACAGUACUCUGUAAUGUUGCCCUUAUGUUCGUCCGCCACUGGUAGGUGGAACGCGUGCGCGUUACGUGAGUCCCAGUUCCUUGAUAAUGGCUACCGACACAAAUGGAAGUGAAACCUGCAUCGAGUCUGAAAUGGCGACGGACAGUACAUAGACCAGAAAAGCUACCGUGUGGUAUUGUGCUGACUAACGUUUUUCCAGCUGUAUAGAGGUGACGGGAGAGAGAAACGCAAGCGACCAGUGUAGAAAUACCGUAAAACCGUUUUGUUUGCAGAAGGAUGUCAGGGCUAUCCUCGAAAAACCGUUGAAAUGGAGGUACAUACGUUGGGGACUUGCUUUCACAUUUUCAUGUAGGAAGACGUGAUGAGGUGAUUUGCCAAUCACUCAGUGAGACAAGUUUUUUCUCGCGCACCCAUUACCUAUCUCCCAAGGUGAUUCCUUCUCUGCAUGUAGAGCUGGUGCGACUCGUUUUCUCGCCUUUGAUGCAUCGGGUCGUGGACGUCCAAUGCAGGAAUCCGACAAAAUCUACUCUCUCGGGUGUGCGUCCGGAAUGUACUCUGCGGAAGUGAGAUGUACAUAGCAAUAUCCUUUGUUUAAAGACCAAUGCACUUUCAUCAGUGGCGGCUUGGCAAUUAGUUGAGGAAGCAGAAGUUACUUUUUGAAUGAAUCUGUCAGUUGGUACCACACACCUUGCUGAUCGCCCAUUCCUCGUGCACUUAUCCUAUCCUUAUCAUCGCAGCUGGGUUCGCGACAAGAUUGGUUUCGAAUUUGACUUCAAGACUAGCACCUCAAAUGUGUUGGCGACCUCAUUCGUGGGUAUGAAUGAUCCAGAUUGCCCGCAUCAGUGAAACAACGCUCGCGGUCGCACUAUAGGAGGGGGUGGUCUGAAUGCAACUAAACUUGGAGGGAAUUCUCUUUUCUCCGAUGUCAACUGGCUCAGAUUUUUGUGGUACGAUCUGUCACACCCAGCGUUGACCCAGAGGUAACAGUGCAUGCCUUGUUCAUACGCGCCGGUUCCUUCAUUGACUGGCGGCGCCUUCGCGACUGCGAAAUGUGUCUUUAAUUGCAUUGCACAAAGUGCACGUCCGGCAAACACGCAAUGCAUGUUGCGGUGUAGAAAAAAGUUUGUUAUUUGAAGGCAAAUAUGCAUAUUUACGCAAACCAAACACAGAAGAAAAACAUUCAAAUGGACGUGGGCAGAGGC